AAAGUUCCACUUUUAUGUCAUGAAUUCAAAUUCAGAAACAAUUUCUUGCUACAUGUAAAGAGAAAACUGUGCACACAUAAUAACUCACUUCAGUUAAAGUAUUAGUUAGCUUCUUUCACCUAUCAGUUGAACAAGGUUUUGUUUAAUUUAGAAUUCAGUUAUGCUGGUGUCUGUAUUUAAUUUGUAGGAUAUGAUGUUUCCUCUUUUUCUGUGUUUAAUUGGGUUCCAUUGAACCUUCUAAGGUAAAAUUGCA
Molecule: long non-coding RNA, 253 nt
Filed under: Phaseolus vulgaris (common bean)
Lineage: Eukaryota; Viridiplantae; Streptophyta; Magnoliopsida; Fabales; Fabaceae
Description: long non-coding RNA (PVUL_LNC004521)
Source: RNAcentral